AUGUGGGAGCGGAUCCCGGUUGGACGACCCGAUUUCAAGAACCCCGAACACCCAAACCCACUUGGUAAUCAUGAUGGGGCGCAUGAUGAUGAUCCAUAUCGGCUCCCUACGGUUUCGUACUAUUGGGAAUGGGUGACGGUGUACACAGGAAGCUUGCAUGUGCGAUACAAGUGCUAUAUGAACGAGCUAGACACCUUGACUGCUGAGCAGGUCCAUUGGAUGCCUUAUGUGGAUGAUCGUGGCUUCUCUCUUAACGAGAUGUGCAUGCGUGAUAGCCAUCUUUGGCGGGCGAGGUGCCCAAUGAUAUGCCUCUUUGCGGUCGAGUGGCACUUCGUAGACCGUGUGGAAAGACAAUUUGGAAGAAGACAAGUUAUUCCAAUUGAUGAGAGCAAGGAGGAAAUGCUAUCUCUGCAUCGAUGA
Molecule: ribosomal RNA, 420 nt
Filed under: Triticum aestivum (bread wheat)
Lineage: Eukaryota; Viridiplantae; Streptophyta; Magnoliopsida; Poales; Poaceae
Description: partial small subunit ribosomal RNA
Source: RNAcentral